RNAcentral lists this long non-coding RNA (438 nucleotides) under Homo sapiens (human). Its description in RNAcentral is "HSALNT0310675". Lineage: Eukaryota; Metazoa; Chordata; Mammalia; Primates; Hominidae. The record is from RNAcentral.
GUUUUGGCCAACAUGGCUCUUAUUUAUCACCUCCUAAGCCAUAACCUGAUUAUCAUAGCUCCAGUUUCCAGCCCCAUACCAGUCUCUUGUCAAUCAGUAUCAGAAGGCCUGCUCUAACUUCUCUUAUGGUUGCUUCAUAGCUGUCUCCAAUCGCUACUGGCUUCUCAGAAAUAUCCCUUUCCAGUUUAACCCAGGGACCGAGACCCAGAGUACUACGUGCCCUCAGAUGUCAUAACUCCUCACUGGGUUUGCAGCAGAUAGAUGAGAGCUGGUGUAAGACUACAAUGAUGAAGAAACUGAAGCAGAGAAAUAAGGAAUUUGUCCAAAUCUCACAGCAAUCCUUUUAUAGGUGCUGGAGAUGGAGCAAGAAACAAAACAAACAUGGCUCCUGCCAUUAUGGUGUUUCUGAUCUAGCGGACAAUGAUGACUAUAAUGGAG